This 98-nucleotide signal recognition particle RNA is filed under the name Chlamydiales bacterium. RNAcentral describes it as "signal recognition particle sRNA small type". It matches the Rfam family "Bacterial small signal recognition particle RNA". From Rfam's summary of the family: The signal recognition particle (SRP) is a universally conserved ribonucleoprotein involved in the co-translational targeting of proteins to membranes. Archaeal SRP consists of a 7S RNA and homologues of the eukaryotic SRP19 and SRP54 proteins. RNAcentral also lists the same sequence under 2 other names. The record is from RNAcentral. Lineage: Bacteria; Pseudomonadati; Chlamydiota; Chlamydiia; Chlamydiales.
CGGGGGGACGCUUGAGGUGGCUGUUUUCGAACCAGGUCAGGACGGGAACGUAGCAGCCUUAAGAAAUACCAGCCACGCUUAAGCUGAUCCCUCCGGCA